CCCGAAGUAAAAAGAGUUAAUUUAUCUAAAGUUAGCGUGUUAUAGUUAUUUUUAAGGUAGAUUAGAGGCGACAUGCUAAUCAAUUUUUAUAUAUCUGGUUUAGCCUGUUUAAAUUCAAUUUUUAUGUGGAUUAAAAAAUCUAUUUAAAUACAAUAGAGGGGUAAGCUCUCUAUAAUAGCUAUAUGGUUUUGUUAAAUUAGGUUUAAUAAUCUUUAUUGAUUUUAAUAAAAUUUUAUUACUUUGGCAGGGCUAAACUAUAAAUUUUUGUAGGCGGUUAAUAAUAAAUAUAUUAGUAAUUAUUAAGUAUAUGUUUAGUUAGAUUUAAUUAUGAAUUUAAAUGUUGGCAGACCCAAAAAAGAACUCGGCAAUAUUGGUUUCGCAUGUUUAACAAAAACAUCUCUUGGUGUAAUUUCAAGUAACCUCUGCCCUAUGAAUAGUUUAAAUGGCCGCAGUACUUUGACUGUGCAAAGGUAGCAUAAUCAUUUGUCUUUUAAUUGAAGGCUGGGAUGAAAGAGGCGACGAAAUCCAAACUUUUAGGUUUUAACGUGAAAUUAACAUAAAGGUCAAAAGGCCUUUAUAUAUCAAAGGGACGAUAAGACCCUAUAAAACUUUACUAUAAAAUUAAAUCUCUUUAGGCAAGAUUUACGUUUAUAGUUUAACUGGGGCGGUUUAUAUAUAAACAAUUGAAGUAGAAAAUAUUUAUAUAGAUUUGUAGAGCUCUAAAGGAAAUGAAUAAGUUACUUUAGGGAUAACAGCAUAAUUCUCCUAGAGAGUCCUUAUUGGCAGGAGAGCUUAUGACCUCGAUGUUGAAUUGGGGUGUCUAAUGUAAGUAGAAAUAUAUUAAGAUAGUCUGUUCGACUAUUAAAUUCCCACAUGAUUUGAGUUCAGACCGGCGUGAGCCAGGUUGGUUUCUAUCUUUUGAGAGUUAGUGAUUUAAAUUGUACGAAAGGACCUUUA
Molecule: ribosomal RNA, 957 nt
Filed under: Proasellus assaforensis
Lineage: Eukaryota; Metazoa; Arthropoda; Malacostraca; Isopoda; Asellidae
Description: 16S ribosomal RNA
Rfam family: Bacterial large subunit ribosomal RNA (bases 558-957)
Source: RNAcentral